Molecule: transfer RNA, 75 nt
Filed under: Devosia sp.
Lineage: Bacteria; Pseudomonadati; Pseudomonadota; Alphaproteobacteria; Hyphomicrobiales; Devosiaceae
Also listed under: 2 other names
Description: tRNA-Glu
Rfam family: tRNA
About the family: Transfer RNA (tRNA) molecules are approximately 80 nucleotides in length. Their secondary structure includes four short double-helical elements and three loops (D, anti-codon, and T loops).
Source: RNAcentral
GCGCCCAUCGUCUAUCGGUUAGGACGGCACCCUUUCACGGUGCAGAGAGGGGUUCGAUUCCCCUUGGGCGUACCA